This 798-nucleotide ribosomal RNA is filed under the name Karlodinium australe. RNAcentral describes it as "partial 28S ribosomal RNA". It matches the Rfam family "Eukaryotic large subunit ribosomal RNA", at positions 1 to 671 of the family's 3401-position model. The record is from RNAcentral. Lineage: Eukaryota; Dinophyceae; Gymnodiniales; Kareniaceae.
CAAGACAUGAAGUUAGGUCAGCAAACCCGCUGAAUUUAAGCAUAUAAGUAAGCGGAGGACAAGAAACUAAAUAGGAUUCCCUCAGUAAUGGCGAAUGAACAGGGAUAAGCUCAGCAUGGAAAUUGGGGCCUCUGGCCUUGAAUUGUAGUCUUGAGAUGGCAUUGCCAGUGGAGGCGCAGAUGUAAGCCUCUUGGAAAAGAGCAUCAAUGAGGGUGAGAGUCCCGUUUGUCAUCUGCAGUCCCCCAUAAACGGUGUGCUUUCUAAGAGUCACGUUCCUUGGGAUUGGAGCGCAAAUUGGGUGGUAAAUUUCAUCUAAAGCUAAAUAUUGGUUCGAGACCGAUAGCAAACAAGUACCAUGAGGGAAAGGUGAAAAGGCUUUUGAAAAGAAAGUUAAAAGUGCCUGAAAUUGCUGAAAGGGAAGCGAAUGGAACCAGUCUUCUGGGCGAGAUUGUUGCGCGCUACUGUGAUUGCCUGCUGCUUCAACGCAAGUGUCGCAGUGGGUUUUGAGCAUGACGUGCGCUUUGUUUCUUGCCUCGUGUGUCAACGUCGGUUCGGACUUGAGGAAAACUCCAGGGACAUGGUAAAUCGCUCGUGGGUGAUUGAAUGUGCUUGGCAGAACUCAUUUCUUAACUGAUUUCUGCAUGUCUGGUCGCAGUGCCUCGUUGCCUGCGCUCGCUGCCUCGGGUCUGGAGCUUCAGCUCUUCCUCGUUGCUUUGAGCCUGGUCGUGUGGCAUCUCCCUGACAUAAGUACGAUGACAAAAUGGUUUCAUUCGACCCGUCUUGAAACACGGACCAAGG